UGCCAACUCCUACUGCUGAGCUAAAAUAUGGCUUUACUGUGGUUUUGGGCCAAUUACUAGUUGAUGGAGAUUGUUCAGCAGCAAUUAAGAUGAGAUUACACAUGCUUCUGCUUGGAUGCACAAGUUUUCUCCCAACAACCUGGAUUGGUCAUAUGAGACUUUGCUUCUUUGCUGUUACCAGUACUUUUGCUUGCUACUUAAACAUGGGAAUACAAGAAAAAUUGUUCAGAGCAGCAGCUGUGGAGCAAGAUAAACAGCAAGAGAACCAAGGACACCUCUAGAAGAAGAAAGAAUGGCUUGCAGCUCUGAUUGGAUAAACGCUCGCAUGAAUGUUUGAAGAGUGUUUGUAGAAUGCUCUGUUGACAUGUAAAGGAGGAUGGGAAAGCUAGAAAAAGAAAACUUGUGAAGAUAUAUAAUUGAUGUGAGAACUUGUAAUAAACGAUUUGGAUCAUUCACAUCUGAGCCCGUGCAUCAGAUGCUGCAUUAAAGAAAGAGAAUAAUUGCCUGUACUGAUAUUUCAAUUUUUAACUUCCAAAGGAGGAAGAUGGAGUAAAAUAAGGCUCUCAAAGAAUGGCUUGAUGUCCAGGUGGAAACUCAUAAUGAAAGAUAUUCCUCGCUGUUCAGUACUGGAACCAGCACCAUUUAUCAUCCUUACCAGUGACAUGGACACUGGGAUUGAAUGCACCCUCAACAUUUUGUGGAUGACACCAAAAUGUGUGUGCAGCUGACACAGUGGAGAAAGGAAUGCCAUCCAGAGAGACCGUGACAGGCUUGAGAUGGGCCCAUGUAAACCUCAUGAAGUUCAAUAAUGACAAGUUCAAGGACCUGCAGCUGAGUUAGGGCAAUCCCAAACAUGAUUACAGGAUAUGUGAUGAGUGAAUAGAAAACAGCUGUUUGGAGAAGAACUUGGGGGUACUAGUGACAAAAGCGCGAAUCUGAACCAGCAAUGUGUGUUUGUAGAGUAGAAAGACAACUGUAUCCUGGGCUAUAUUAAAAUAAUAUUGAAGCAGCUUCAUUUGCUCUGCUCUCCCCCUACUUUUGUGAGACCCUGCCUGUAGCAUUGUGUUGAGCUGUGGGGCCACCAGCAAAAGAGUGACAUGCGCCUGUUAAAGUGGGUCCAGACCUACAGAACUGAUGGGGAGGGACUCUUAUCAGAGAAUGUUGUGUCAGAUUUUAAAAUAAAAGAGGGUAGUUUUAGAUCAGAUGUUAGGAGGAAAUUCUUUACUACACGUGUGGUGAGACACUGGAACCUGUUGCCCAGAGAAGUUGUGGAUGCCCUAUCCCUGGAAGUGUUCAAGGCAAGACUGGAUGAGGCUUUCAGGAACCUGAUUUAGAAGGAGGUGUCCAUGUCCAUAGCAGGAGGUGGGUGGAACUUAAAGAUCUUUCAGGUCCCUUCCAAUCCAAACUAUACUUCUAUUCUAUGAAAAUCAUUUCAAGCCUUUCAGAGGUGAUGUCUACUAGUUCUUUAACCAGCAGAAUCAAGUUUUGGUGUAGGAAUUAAAGAAUGGCAGGAUUUUAGACAGCAUAAAAAACCUGAGAAUUUCCUUAUUCAGUGAUUGUUCUUCUUUUAGUAGGCAACCUACCUUUGAAGAAGAC
This 1596-nucleotide long non-coding RNA is filed under the name Gallus gallus (chicken). The record is from RNAcentral. Lineage: Eukaryota; Metazoa; Chordata; Aves; Galliformes; Phasianidae.